AGGGGUGUAGCUCAGUGGUAGAGGUCUGGCUUAAGCAUGCAAGAAGCCCUGAGUUCAAUUCUCAGCAUCACAA
RNAcentral lists this transfer RNA (73 nucleotides) under Urocitellus parryii (Arctic ground squirrel). Its description in RNAcentral is "Spermophilus parryii (Arctic ground squirrel) tRNA". It matches the Rfam family "tRNA". From Rfam's summary of the family: Transfer RNA (tRNA) molecules are approximately 80 nucleotides in length. Their secondary structure includes four short double-helical elements and three loops (D, anti-codon, and T loops). Further hydrogen bonds mediate the characteristic L-shaped molecular structure. tRNAs have two regions of fundamental functional importance: the anti-codon, which is responsible for specific mRNA codon recognition, and the 3' end, to which the tRNAs corresponding amino acid is attached (by aminoacyl-tRNA synthetases). tRNAs cope with the degeneracy of the genetic code in two manners: having more than one tRNA (with a specific anti-codon) for a particular amino acid; and 'wobble' base-pairing, i.e. permitting non-standard base-pairing at the 3rd anti-codon position. RNAcentral also lists the same sequence under 1 other name. The record is from Rfam by way of RNAcentral. Lineage: Eukaryota; Metazoa; Chordata; Mammalia; Rodentia; Sciuridae.